Molecule: ribosomal RNA, 441 nt
Filed under: Triticum aestivum (bread wheat)
Lineage: Eukaryota; Viridiplantae; Streptophyta; Magnoliopsida; Poales; Poaceae
Description: partial small subunit ribosomal RNA
Source: RNAcentral
AUGGUGCAGGUGGAGGUGCUUGGCAUCACUGAUUUUUUGCAUGAACACCCUAAACCCCGUAAACCCUGCAUCCUCGGGGAGCACUCUGCAGAAGUCCACGGUGCACGAAGGGACUCGCGGCGAGCCGUGCAAGGACAGGAGCGGCCCGGCCGGCACCGUGCCGCAGUAGUCCAGCGACCUCAGCUCCGACGCGUCGAUGUCGACAGACUUCAGGUUGUGGCAGCAGCGAAGGGCGAAUCUGCGGAGGCAUUGGUCGAGCACGGAUACUCGCUUCAGGCGGUGGACAGCUUCCAGCGUCAGGUCGACGAGGCGGGGGCAGCUGGAGAUCAGCCGCUGGAUGCUCCUCCCACCAUCGCUGUGGGGAGCCGUGAUGCUCAAGGUCUCGAGGAGCGGCAGGUUGACGGCCGCCGGCAGUAUCAGCCGGCAAUAGGCGACGCAUAG